CCUACGGGUGGCUGCAGUGGGGAAUCUUCCGCAAUGGACGAAAGUCUGACGGAGCAACGCCGCGUGAGUGAAGAAGGUUUUCGGAUCGUAAAGCUCUUUCGUCAGGGACGAACGUAUUUCUUGUAAAUAAUGAGAGAUAGUGACGGUACCUGAAUAAGAAGCCACGGCUAACUACGUGCCAGCAGCCGCGGUAAUACGUAGGUGGCAAGCGUUGUCCGGAAUUAUUGGGCGUAAAGCGCGCGCAGGCGGGAUAUCAAGUCUGUCUUAAAAGUGCG
RNAcentral lists this ribosomal RNA (275 nucleotides) under uncultured bacterium. RNAcentral's name for it is "partial 16S ribosomal RNA". It matches the Rfam family "Bacterial small subunit ribosomal RNA", at positions 338 to 604 of the family's 1533-position model. The record is from RNAcentral.